GGGUGCAUGGUCUAGUGGUAUGAUAUUCGCUUCGCAUAGUUCCAUACGAAUGCCCUGUGAAAGGUCCCCGGUUCAAUCCCGGGCGCAUCCA
This is a non-coding RNA of Lasiosphaeria ovina, 91 nucleotides long. Lineage: Eukaryota; Fungi; Ascomycota; Sordariomycetes; Sordariales; Lasiosphaeriaceae. The record is from the annotation of a GenBank genome assembly.